This 660-nucleotide ribosomal RNA is filed under the name Triticum aestivum (bread wheat). RNAcentral describes it as "partial small subunit ribosomal RNA". The record is from RNAcentral. Lineage: Eukaryota; Viridiplantae; Streptophyta; Magnoliopsida; Poales; Poaceae.
AUGUACAUCCAGUUGAUCGGACUGGGUGGACUUCUCAAGACACUUAGCAUCAAAAUUAGACGUGUACUGUGCAUGGCCAUCGCUAAUUCAUAUGAUGCAGAGCAGGAUGCCUUUAUCAUCAAUGGAAGACCAUGUAGGAUCAAACUAGAAGAUGUAUCGCAUAUAACAGGCACGCCCUGCCAUGAGAAGAAGCACGUCCCUUCAGAUCUUGAUGAUAAUAUGGAGUUGUGGAAGAAACUAACGCUUGACUAUCUUAUGGAUAGCGUGAAGAAUUUUGUAAAUGGUGAGGCAAUUCUAGAGGGGAAUCUAUCACUGCCGCAGAUAAAGGUACUCAUCGGACGUGUAUUGACUGAUUUGCAAGAAGUUGCCUCCCUCGUGCGGGAGGCCGGUGCAGAACAAGUCGAUAGGAUGUGCACCCUUGAAAAAAAAAUUGAUGAGUCCCUUAGGCGUACCCGUACAAAUGGCAAGCUCACAGAGGAUCUCAUCAAAGAAUUGAACAAAAAACGCGAUGGAAUAUUUCCAGGAGUGGAGGACAUACAUCUUUCUGACCUCGGGGCACCUUCACACCCAAUGGAGGCCUCUGUUGAGAAUGUUGAGCAGGCUUCUGACAGGGGAAACAAAAUGAUGACACGGAGGUCGCUGCUAAGCACCAUUAAAUAA